CCUACGGGAGGCAGCAGCCGCGGUAAUUACCCAAUCCUGACACCGGGAGGUAGUGACAAAAAAUAACAAUACCGGCUCUUUUUGGGGCUGGUAAUUGGAAUGAGAACGAGUUAAACUUUCUAUCGAGGAUCCAUUGGAGGGCAAGUCUGGUGCCAGCAGCCGCGGUAAU
This 169-nucleotide ribosomal RNA is filed under the name uncultured fungus. Its description in RNAcentral is "partial 18S ribosomal RNA". It matches the Rfam family "Eukaryotic small subunit ribosomal RNA", at positions 415 to 583 of the family's 1831-position model. Lineage: Eukaryota; Fungi. The record is from RNAcentral.